RNAcentral lists this small nuclear RNA (21 nucleotides) under Arabidopsis thaliana (thale cress). RNAcentral's name for it is "snRNA_04312". The record is from RNAcentral. Lineage: Eukaryota; Viridiplantae; Streptophyta; Magnoliopsida; Brassicales; Brassicaceae.
CCGACAAAAGAUCUGGUGAUG